UACGGAGUGUGCAAGCGUUACUCGGAAUCACUGGGCAUAAAGGGCGCGUAGGCGGGUUUCCAAGUCGGUUGUGAAAUCCCUCAGCUCAGCUGAGGAACUGCAUCCGAUACUGUUUGUCUUGAGGACGGGAGGGGAGAGUGGAACUUCUGGUGAAGCGGUGAAAUGCGUAGAUAUCAGAAGGAACGCCGGUGGCGAAAGCGACUCUCUGGCCCGUAUCUGACGCUGAAGCGCGAAAGCUUGGGUAGCAAACGGG
Molecule: ribosomal RNA, 253 nt
Filed under: uncultured bacterium
Lineage: Bacteria
Description: partial 16S ribosomal RNA
Rfam family: Bacterial small subunit ribosomal RNA
Source: RNAcentral